CCCAGACUCCUACGGGAGGCAGCAGUGGGGAAUCUUCCGCAAUGGGCGAAAGCCUGACGGAGCAACGCCGCGUGAAGGAAGAAGGCUUUCGGGUUGUAAACUUCUUUUCUCAGGGACGAAGAAAGUGACGGUACCUGAGGAAUAAGCCACGGCUAACUACGUGCCAGCAGCCGCGGUAAUACGUAGGUGGCAAGCGUUAUCCGGAUUUACUGGGUGUAAAGGGCGUGUAGGCGGGAAAGCAAGUCAGAUGUGAAAACCACGGGCUCAACCUGUGGCCUGCAUUUGAAACUGUUUUUCUUGAGUACUGGAGAGGCAGACGGAAUUCCUAGUGUAGCGGUGAAAUGCGUAGAUAUUAGGAGGAACACCAGUGGCGAAGGCGGUCUGCUGGACAGCAACUGACGCUGAGGCGCGAAAGCGUGGGGAGCAAACAGGAUUAGAUACCCCCGUAC
RNAcentral lists this ribosomal RNA (449 nucleotides) under uncultured bacterium. RNAcentral's name for it is "bacterial SSU rRNA". It matches the Rfam family "Bacterial small subunit ribosomal RNA", at positions 330 to 793 of the family's 1533-position model. The record is from RNAcentral.